GUGGCAGACGGGUGAGUAAUGCAUAGGAAUCUGCCUAGUAGUAUGGGAUAGCCACUAGAAAUGGUGGGUAAUACUGUAUAAUCCCUGCGGGGGAAAGAUUUAUCGCUACUGGAUGAGCCUAUGUUAGAUUAGCUAGUUGGUGGGGUAAUGGCCUACCAAGGCUGUGAUCUAUAGCUGGUCUGAGAGGAUGAUCAGCCACACUGGAACUGAGACACGGUCCAGACUCCUACGGGAGGCAGCAGUGGGGAAUAUUGGACAAUGGGCGCAAGCCUGAUCCAGCUAUGCCGCGUGAGUGAGGAAGGCCUUAGGGUUGUAAAACUCUUUCAGCAGGGAAGAUAAUGACGGUACCUGCAGAAGAAGUCCCGGCAAACUCCGUGCCAGCAGCCGCGGUAAUACGGAGGGGGCAAGCGUUGUUCGGAAUUAUUGGGCGUAAAGGGCAUGUAGGCGGUUUGGUAAGU
This 458-nucleotide ribosomal RNA is filed under the name Candidatus Anaplasma amazonensis. RNAcentral's name for it is "partial 16S ribosomal RNA". It matches the Rfam family "Bacterial small subunit ribosomal RNA", at positions 95 to 588 of the family's 1533-position model. The record is from RNAcentral. RNAcentral also lists the same sequence under 1 other name. Lineage: Bacteria; Pseudomonadati; Pseudomonadota; Alphaproteobacteria; Rickettsiales; Anaplasmataceae.